Molecule: ribosomal RNA, 2101 nt
Filed under: Telasphaerula gracilis
Lineage: Eukaryota; Fungi; Monoblepharomycota; Monoblepharidomycetes; Monoblepharidales; Telasphaerulaceae
Description: partial 18S ribosomal RNA
Rfam family: Eukaryotic small subunit ribosomal RNA
Source: RNAcentral
CCAAUCUCGAUACGAGGAGGUAGUGACAAGAAAUAACAAUCCAGGGCUCUCUGAGUCUUGGAAUUGGAAUGAGAACAAUUUAAAUCCCUUAACGAGGAACAAUUGGAGGGCAAGUCUGGUGCCAGCAGCCGCGGUAAUUCCAGCUCCAAUAGCGUAUAUUAAAGUUGUUGCAGUUAAAAAGCUCGUAGUCGAAUUUUGGGCUUGGCUGAAGGGUCUGCCUCACGGUAUGUACUCUUCUGGCCGGGCCUUUCCUUCUGGCGAGCCACGGUGCACUUAACUGUGUGCCGUGGGGAACCAGGACUUUUACUUUGAAAAAAUUAGAGUGUUUAAAGCAAGCCUACGCUUGAAUACUACAGCAUGGAAUAAUAGAAUAGGACCCUGGUUCUAUUUUGUUGGUUUCUGGAACCGGAGUAAUGAUUAAUAGGGAUAGUUGGGGGCAUUAGUAUUUAAUUGUCAGAGGUGAAAUUCUUGGAUUUAUGAAAGACUAACUUCUGCGAAAGCAUUUGCCAAGGAUGUUUUCAUUGAUCAAGAACGAAAGUUAGGGGAUCGAAGACGAUCAGAUACCGUCGUAGUCUUAACCAUAAACUAUGCCAGCUCCGGAUCGGUCGGUGUUACUUUAUGACCCGAUCGGCACGGUGUGAGAAAUCAAAGCUUUUGGGUUCUGGGGGGAGUAUGGUCGCAAGGCUGAAANNNNNNNNNNNNNNNNNNNNNNNNNNNNGCGCUGCCUUAGCCGCAGUUAACUCUGCGCCUGAAAGCGGUCCGAAAGGACUGGUGGUUUGCUCUUGAUUGAUGGCUCGCUAGUCUCAAAGUUGCUAUCGCUAGCAAUUCAAGGCAACAUCGUCCAAUUGCGGGAACACCCUAAAGCUCCAGCUACCAAGCUCCCGCCGGGAAACCGUCGGGGUGGCCGGGUUAACGACCCCGGGUAUGGUAACAACGCUGGAGAUGCUACAAUGGGCCACCUGCAGCCAAGCUCUAACUUCUUCAGCGCCUGCAAGGGCUGUUUGAAGGACAUGGGCGCAGUUCAGAGGCCAAAUGGCGAUGGGUCGCUGUUGAACGGCGGCUUAAGAUAUGGUCCAACCUGUGCGGGAAACCCACAGCUCUGGUCUUCUAACAGACUCCAAAAGGGAGCCUGCGGCUUAAUUUGACUCAACACGGGGAAACUCACCAGGUCCAGACAUAGUAAGGAUUGACAGAUUGAGAGCUCUUUCUUGAUUCUAUGGGUGGUGGUGCAUGGCCGUUCUUAGUUGGUGGAGUGAUUUGUCUGGUUAAUUCCGUUAACGAACGAGACCUUAACCUGCUAAAUAGUCACACGAACUUCUCGUUCGUGGCUGUACUUCUUAGAGGGACUAUGGAUGUUCAAUCCAUGGAAGUUUGAGGCAAUAACAGGUUAACCUUCGUGUAACAACGAUCACAGGCCUGUAAAAGCGGAGCCGUUGAAUAUCGCUAGUCCAAUGCCGCGUCUCUGUUGGGGAAGUCCCCUUCUGUCGGGCAGAGAGGGCGAGCCGGAUUAAACCCGGCGCGCCUAGGCAUGGGCAACACAACCUGGUACAGGGAACGCCGAGAGCGUCUGCUCUUAAACCGAGUAAGGCUUGGGCCGAUCCUGUGGCGAGCCUUGGUAACGCGAGGCCGUCGCAACGCGCGGAAAGGUGUGGGUUACCGCUGCUUUGAUAGGGCGGUAGCUUGAGGUACGUGCUAAUCCCCCGGGCUAACCGGGCGCCUGCAAUAAGACCCGACAGGUCAAGGUGCAGGCGGGGCGCUCUCUAAGAGAGCCGCCUGGCUUAUUCUUGAUAGGCACAGCGCUCUUGAGGCGUGGUUGCCGGCAAGGAUAGGAAUUGCUGUGAUGCCCUUAGAUGUUNUGGGCCGCACGCGCGCUACACUGAUGAAGUCAGCGAGUUUAUAACCUUGGCCGGAAGGUCUGGGUAAUCUUCUGAAACUUCAUCGUGCUGGGGAUAGAGCAUUGCAAUUAUUGCUCUUCAACGAGGAAUGCCUAGUAAGCGUGAGUCAUCAGCUCGCGUUGAUUACGUCCCUGCCCUUUGUACACACCGCCCGUCGCUACUACCGAUUGAAUGGCUUAGUGAGGCCUUCGGACUUGGAGGAUUGC